UACAGAGGGGGCAAGCGUUGUUCGGAAUUACUGGGCGUAAAGAGUGCGUAGGCGGCUAUGUAAGACAGAUGUGAAAUCCCUGGGCUUAACCUAGGAACUGCAUUUGUGACUGCAUGGCUAGAGUGUGGUAGAGGGAGAUGGAAUUCCGCAUGUAGCAGUGAAAUGCGUAGAUAUGCGGAGGAACACCGAUGGCGAAGGCAGCCAUCUGGACCGACACUGACGCUGAGGCGCGAAAGCGUGGGGAGCAAACAGG
This 253-nucleotide ribosomal RNA is filed under the name uncultured bacterium. Its description in RNAcentral is "partial 16S ribosomal RNA". It matches the Rfam family "Bacterial small subunit ribosomal RNA", at positions 524 to 776 of the family's 1533-position model. The record is from RNAcentral.